CACACCGCCCGCCACACCACGAAAGCCGGCUGUACCAGAAGUCGCUGCGCCAACCGCAAGGAGGCAGGCGCCGAAGGUAUGGUCGGUGAUUGGGGUG
This 97-nucleotide ribosomal RNA is filed under the name uncultured bacterium. RNAcentral describes it as "partial 16S ribosomal RNA". It matches the Rfam family "Bacterial small subunit ribosomal RNA", at positions 1386 to 1482 of the family's 1533-position model. The record is from RNAcentral.